This 228-nucleotide ribosomal RNA is filed under the name Triticum aestivum (bread wheat). RNAcentral describes it as "partial small subunit ribosomal RNA". The record is from RNAcentral. Lineage: Eukaryota; Viridiplantae; Streptophyta; Magnoliopsida; Poales; Poaceae.
AUGGGUUGUGCCCUCUUCAUCGCCGUGCUUCUCCUGGUCACCGUCGCGGUGGCGCCCUUGGCACAGGCGCGCAACAUCGUCAUAGAGGACAAGAAGGCCGAGAAGAAGGCCGAAGCGCCGGCGCCCUCCGCCAGCGCGCCCGCCGACGCGCCCGCCGCUGACUCCCCAGCCUCCGAGCCCUCCGCUGCGGAUGCACCGGAGCCCAGCAGCUCCAGCACCUCCGACUGA